GACGAACGCUGGCGGCGUGCUUAACACAUGCAAGUCGAACGGAAAGACCCUGCUUUUGUGCGGUGCUCGAGUGGCGAACGGGUGAGUAACACGUGAGUAACCUGCCCUUGACUUUGGGAUAACUUCAGGAAACUGGGGCUAAUACCGGAUAGGAGCUCCUGCUGCAUGGUGGGGGUUGGAAAGUUUCGGCGGUUGGGGAUGGACUCGCGGCUUAUCAGCUUGUUGGUGGGGUAGUGGCUUACCAAGGCUUUGACGGGUAGCCGGCCUGAGAGGGUGACCGGCCACAUUGGGACUGAGAUACGGCCCAGACUCCUACGGGAGGCAGCAGUGGGGAAUAUUGCACAAUGGGCGGAAGCCUGAUGCAGCAACGCCGCGUGCGGGAUGACGGCCUUCGGGUUGUAAACCGCUUUCGCCUGUGACGAAGCGUGAGUGACGGUAAUGGGUAAAGAAGCACCGGCUAACUACGUG
Molecule: ribosomal RNA, 468 nt
Filed under: uncultured bacterium
Lineage: Bacteria
Description: partial 16S ribosomal RNA
Rfam family: Bacterial small subunit ribosomal RNA
Source: RNAcentral